This 403-nucleotide unclassified non-coding RNA is filed under the name Hevea brasiliensis (rubber tree). Lineage: Eukaryota; Viridiplantae; Streptophyta; Magnoliopsida; Malpighiales; Euphorbiaceae. The record is from RNAcentral.
AGAAUAAUGAAAUAUAUAUUACAUGCAAACAAAGAUGAACAUCAAUAGAUGGAAAUGAUUUUAAAUUGUUUACCAUAAGUAAGGCAUCAUUGCCUCCAAGGAUUAUCCUUUUGGUUGGGGCGGGGGAAAACUUGAUAUCUAGAAACUCUAAUUAGGAAUAUGCGCCCCAAGAAAGUAAGAAUAUAGUGAAAACUGAUAUAAGAAAUCCUAGAAUUAAGCUCAAGAGUCAUGAUAGAAUACUCUACAUGCAGAAACAGCCUCCUAUAUCCCUAACAUCAGAUUCCACUAUGCAUAUGCUCAAAAGAAAAGUUCCCCAUGCCAAAUGAUCCCCACCAACACCAAGCACCCCAUGCUCCCUAAUCCUCCCACCAACGCGACCCUAGCCUCCUCUAGUGCAACUCCG